ACGUAGGCAGCAAGCGUUGUUCGGAGUUACUGGGCGUAAAGAGUAUGUAGGCGGUCUUCUAAGUUUGGUGUGAAAUCUCCCGGCUCAACUGGGGGGGUGCGCUGGAAACUGGGAGGCUAGAGUAUAGGAGAGGAGGGCGGAAUUCCUGGUGUAGCGGUGAAAUGCGUAGAUAUCAGGAAGAACACCGGUGGCGUAGGCGGCUCUCUGGACUGUAACUGACGCUGAGACGCGAAAGCGUGGGUAGCGAACAG
This 251-nucleotide ribosomal RNA is filed under the name uncultured prokaryote. RNAcentral's name for it is "partial 16S rRNA". It matches the Rfam family "Bacterial small subunit ribosomal RNA", at positions 525 to 775 of the family's 1533-position model. The record is from RNAcentral.